Molecule: ribosomal RNA, 261 nt
Filed under: uncultured archaeon
Lineage: Archaea
Description: partial 16S ribosomal RNA
Rfam family: Archaeal small subunit ribosomal RNA
Source: RNAcentral
CAGCCGUAAACUAUGCGCGUUAGGUGUACUGGUGACCACGAGUCACCGGGGUGCCGAAGGGAAACCGUGAAACGUGCUGCCUGGGAAGUACGGUCGCAAGGCUGAAACUUAAAGGAAUUGGCGGGGGAGCACCACAACGGGGUGGAGCCUGCGGUUUAAUUGGACUCAACGCCGGAAUCUCACCGGAUAGGACAGACAUAUGAUAGUCGGGCUGAAGACUCUACUUGAUGAUCUGAGAGGUGGUGCAUGGCGUCAGUGACU